UACGUAGGUGGCAAGCGUUAUCCGGAAUUAUUGGGCGUAAAGAGCGCGCAGGUGGUUAAUUAAGUCUGAUGUGAAAGCCCACGGCUUAACCGUGGAGGGUCAUUGGAAACUGGUUGACUUGAGUGCAGAAGAGGGAAGUGGAAUUCCAUGUGUAGCGGUGAAAUGCGUAGAGAUAUGGAGGAACACCAGUGGCGAAGGCGGCUUCCUGGUCUGCAACUGACACUGAGGCGCGAAAGCGUGGGGAUCGAACAGG
RNAcentral lists this ribosomal RNA (253 nucleotides) under uncultured bacterium. RNAcentral's name for it is "partial 16S ribosomal RNA". It matches the Rfam family "Bacterial small subunit ribosomal RNA", at positions 524 to 776 of the family's 1533-position model. The record is from RNAcentral.